Molecule: ribosomal RNA, 253 nt
Filed under: uncultured bacterium
Lineage: Bacteria
Description: partial 16S ribosomal RNA
Rfam family: Bacterial small subunit ribosomal RNA
Source: RNAcentral
UACGUAGGGUGCGAGCGUUAAUCGGAAUUACUGGGCGUAAAGCGUGCGCAGGCGGUUAUGUAAGACAGAGGUGAAAUCCCCGGGCUCAACCUGGGAACUGCCUUUGUGACUGCAUGACUAGAGUACGGCAGAGGGGGAUGGAAUUCCGCGUGUAGCAGUGAAAUGCGUAGAUAUGCGGAGGAACACCGAUGGCGAAGGCAAUCCCCUGGGCCCUGACUGACGCUGAGGUACGAAAGCUAGGGGAGCGAAUGGG